Molecule: ribosomal RNA, 253 nt
Filed under: uncultured bacterium
Lineage: Bacteria
Description: partial 16S ribosomal RNA
Rfam family: Bacterial small subunit ribosomal RNA
Source: RNAcentral
UACGUAGGGUGCAAGCGUUGUCCGGAAUUAUUGGGCGUAAAGAGCUCGUAGGCGGUCUGUCGCGUCUGCUGUGAAAAUCCAGGGCUCAACCCUGGACCUGCAGUGGGUACGGGCAGACUAGAGUGCGGUAGGGGAGAUCGGAAUUCCUGGUGUAGCGGUGAAAUGCGCAGAUAUCAGGAGGAACACCAAUGGCGAAGGCAGCUCUCUGGGACGGUACUGACGCUGAGACGCGAAAGCGUGGGGAGCGAACAGG